AACGAACGCUGGCGGCAUGCCUAACACAUGCAAGUCGAACGAGACCUUCGGGUCUAGUGGCGCACGGGUGCGUAACGCGUGGGAACCUGCCCUUAGGUUCGGAAUAACUCCCCGAAAGGGGUGCUAAUACCGGAUAAUGUCUUCGGACCAAAGAUUUAUCGCCUUUGGAUGGGCCCGCGUUGGAUUAGCUAGUUGGUAGGGUAAAAGCCUACCAAGGCGACGAUCCAUAGCUGGUCUGAGAGGAUGAUCAGCCACACUGGGACUGAGACACGGCCCAGAAUCCUACGGGAGGGAGCAGUGGGGAAUAUUGGACAAUGGGCGAAAGCCUGAUCCCGCAAUGCCGGGUGAGUGAUGAAGGCCUUAGGGUUGUAAAGCUCUUUUACCCGGGAUGAUAAUGACAGUACCGGGAGAAUAAGCUCCGGCUAACUCCGUG
Molecule: ribosomal RNA, 433 nt
Filed under: uncultured bacterium
Lineage: Bacteria
Description: partial 16S ribosomal RNA
Rfam family: Bacterial small subunit ribosomal RNA
Source: RNAcentral